This 1528-nucleotide ribosomal RNA is filed under the name Klebsiella pneumoniae MGH 39. Its description in RNAcentral is "bacterial SSU rRNA". It matches the Rfam family "Bacterial small subunit ribosomal RNA". Lineage: Bacteria; Pseudomonadati; Pseudomonadota; Gammaproteobacteria; Enterobacterales; Enterobacteriaceae. The record is from RNAcentral.
AGAGUUUGAUCAUGGCUCAGAUUGAACGCUGGCGGCAGGCCUAACACAUGCAAGUCGAGCGGUAGCACAGAGAGCUUGCUCUCGGGUGACGAGCGGCGGACGGGUGAGUAAUGUCUGGGAAACUGCCUGAUGGAGGGGGAUAACUACUGGAAACGGUAGCUAAUACCGCAUAAUGUCGCAAGACCAAAGUGGGGGACCUUCGGGCCUCAUGCCAUCAGAUGUGCCCAGAUGGGAUUAGCUAGUAGGUGGGGUAACGGCUCACCUAGGCGACGAUCCCUAGCUGGUCUGAGAGGAUGACCAGCCACACUGGAACUGAGACACGGUCCAGACUCCUACGGGAGGCAGCAGUGGGGAAUAUUGCACAAUGGGCGCAAGCCUGAUGCAGCCAUGCCGCGUGUGUGAAGAAGGCCUUCGGGUUGUAAAGCACUUUCAGCGGGGAGGAAGGCGAUAAGGUUAAUAACCUUGUCGAUUGACGUUACCCGCAGAAGAAGCACCGGCUAACUCCGUGCCAGCAGCCGCGGUAAUACGGAGGGUGCAAGCGUUAAUCGGAAUUACUGGGCGUAAAGCGCACGCAGGCGGUCUGUCAAGUCGGAUGUGAAAUCCCCGGGCUUAACCUGGGAACUGCAUUCGAAACUGGCAGGCUAGAGUCUUGUAGAGGGGGGUAGAAUUCCAGGUGUAGCGGUGAAAUGCGUAGAGAUCUGGAGGAAUACCGGUGGCGAAGGCGGCCCCCUGGACAAAGACUGACGCUCAGGUGCGAAAGCGUGGGGAGCAAACAGGAUUAGAUACCCUGGUAGUCCACGCCGUAAACGAUGUCGAUUUGGAGGUUGUGCCCUUGAGGCGUGGCUUCCGGAGCUAACGCGUUAAAUCGACCGCCUGGGGAGUACGGCCGCAAGGUUAAAACUCAAAUGAAUUGACGGGGGCCCGCACAAGCGGUGGAGCAUGUGGUUUAAUUCGAUGCAACGCGAAGAACCUUACCUGGUCUUGACAUCCACAGAACUUAGCAGAGAUGGUUUGGUGCCUUCGGGAACUGUGAGACAGGUGCUGCAUGGCUGUCGUCAGCUCGUGUUGUGAAAUGUUGGGUUAAGUCCCGCAACGAGCGCAACCCUUAUCCUUUGUUGCCAGCGGUUCGGCCGGGAACUCAAAGGAGACUGCCAGUGAUAAACUGGAGGAAGGUGGGGAUGACGUCAAGUCAUCAUGGCCCUUACGACCAGGGCUACACACGUGCUACAAUGGCAUAUACAAAGAGAAGCGACCUCGCGAGAGCAAGCGGACCUCAUAAAGUAUGUCGUAGUCCGGAUUGGAGUCUGCAACUCGACUCCAUGAAGUCGGAAUCGCUAGUAAUCGUAGAUCAGAAUGCUACGGUGAAUACGUUCCCGGGCCUUGUACACACCGCCCGUCACACCAUGGGAGUGGGUUGCAAAAGAAGUAGGUAGCUUAACCUUCGGGAGGGCGCUUACCACUUUGUGAUUCAUGACUGGGGUGAAGUCGUAACAAGGUAACCGUAGGGGAACCUGCGGUUGGAUCACCU